UGGGGAAUAUUGGGCAAUGGGCGAAAGCCUGACCCAGCAACGCCGCGUGAAGUAUGAAGGCCUUCGGGUCGUAAAGCUCUGUCCUAUGGGAAGAAAAGGACGGUACCAUAGAAGGAAGCCCCGGCUAAAUACGUGCCAGCAGCCGCGGUAAUACGUAGGUCCCGAGCGUUGUCCGGAUUUAUUGGGCGUAAAGCGAGCGCAGGCGGUUAGAAAAGUCUGAAGUGAAAGGCAGUGGCUCAACCAUUGUAGGCUUUGGAAACUGUUUAACUUGAGUGCAGAAGGGGAGAGUGGAAUUCCAUGUGUAGCGGUGAAAUGCGUAGAUAUAUGGAGGAACACCGGUGGCGAAAGCGGCUCUCUGGUCUGUAACUGACGCUGAGGCUCGAAAGCGUGGGGAGCGAACAGG
RNAcentral lists this ribosomal RNA (403 nucleotides) under Verrucomicrobiota bacterium. RNAcentral's name for it is "Verrucomicrobia bacterium partial 16S ribosomal RNA". It matches the Rfam family "Bacterial small subunit ribosomal RNA", at positions 355 to 776 of the family's 1533-position model. The record is from RNAcentral. Lineage: Bacteria; Pseudomonadati; Verrucomicrobiota.